AACGAACGCUGGCGGCAUGCCUAACACAUGCAAGUCGAACGGGAUCCUAGCUUGCUAGGUGAGAGUGGCGGACGGGUGAGUAACACGUGGGAAUCUGCCUUUUGGUUCGGGAUAACCGCGGGAAACUGCGGCUAAUACCGAAUGCCCUCGAGAGAGGAAAGAUUUAUCGCCAGAAGAGGAGCCCGCGUCCGAUUAGGUAGUUGGUGGGGUAAAGGCCUACCAAGCCGACGAUCGGUAGCUGGUCUGAGAGGAUGAUCAGCCACACUGGGACUGAGAUACGGCCCAGACUCCUACGGGAGGCAGCAGUGGGGAAUAUUGGACAAUGGGCGAAAGCCUGAUCCAGCAAUGCCGCGUGUGUGAAGAAGGUCUUCGGAUCGUAAAGCACUUUCGACAGGGACGAUGAUGACGGUACCUGUAGAAGAAGCCCCGGCUAACUUCGUGCCAGCAGCCGC
This 452-nucleotide ribosomal RNA is filed under the name uncultured bacterium. Its description in RNAcentral is "bacterial SSU rRNA". It matches the Rfam family "Bacterial small subunit ribosomal RNA", at positions 29 to 518 of the family's 1533-position model. The record is from RNAcentral.